GGAAUAUUGGACAAUGGGGGCAACCCUGAUCCAGCCAUGCCGCGUGUGUGAAGAAGGCCUUAGGGUUGUAACGCACUUUCAGUGGGGAGAAAGGUGGUUUGGUUACUAGCUGAAUCAAUUGAUGUUACCCAAAGCAGAAGCACCGGCUAACUACGUGCCAGCAGCCGCGGUAAUACGGCGGGUGCAAGCGUUAAUCGGAAUUACUGGGCGUAAAGCGCACGUAGGCGGUUUGUUAAGCCAGCUGUGAAAUCCCCGGGCUCAACCUGGGAAUUGCAGUUGGAACUGGCAAGCUAGAGUAUGGUAGAGGGGUGUGGAAUUUCAGGUGUAGCGGUGAAAUGCGUAGAUAUCUGAAGGAACAUCAGUGGCGAAGGCGACACCCUGGAUCAAUACUGACGCUGAGGUGCGAAAGCGUGGGGAGCAAAC
RNAcentral lists this ribosomal RNA (423 nucleotides) under uncultured bacterium. Its description in RNAcentral is "bacterial SSU rRNA". It matches the Rfam family "Bacterial small subunit ribosomal RNA", at positions 358 to 773 of the family's 1533-position model. The record is from RNAcentral.